GGCCCUCGGCUGGGAGAGGGGCCGAGGGGAGCCGAGCGCGUCGGGCCCCUUCCCCCAUCUCGGCCAACAUCCUCGGGAGCUGCUCCCUCGGCGUGCGGGUGCAGUGUCCGGCACAAACUUGGCUGGGAUUCCCCGGGGGGGGUUGCUGUGACGAUAUGUCACGGCAGCGUGAGGAAGCGGGUCCAACGUCUCGGGCUUUGUGAACCGAGCCCGUCAGGAGGUGACGCGUUGCUUGUGCUUCGCUGUGGAAGGGCGCUGCGAAGGAGCGCGCCCGCAGCCCCGUCCGGCAAAGAAGGUCGAACCUGAAAAAAAAGUGAAGUGCUGCGCAAGGGAUACGCGCUUGGCUGGAUUGUGAGAAACUGUGAAGAUCGUACAAUCCACAGAAGGAAGAAGUUAUUCGGUACCUGCUCUGAAAAAUCUGUCUUGAAGGGAAGCUGAAUGGAAACGUGAAAGUCAGCACCUUGCUUCCUCGGCAGGUGAACUCUGUGACUGCAGCGGCGUUUCCCUCCCUCCCUCCCUGCCUCCCCCGGGCUGCGCGUUGGGAAGUUCCAGUGAAAUAUAGCUGCUGUGGAAAGUCCUGCUCACAGCGAGGAGACGUGACCUCUCGGCGAGUCAGAUCCAAUUUUACAGGCAGCUCUGAGUCAGGGUGGAGCCCGUGAACUGAACUUUGUAUUUAAGAAGGAAGUGAUGUUGGUGGCUGCUUGUGUUGCUAAGCAGAUGAGUUGCUGUAUUUUUAUGUCAGCUGAUAGUUUCGUCGGGUGUGUGACUUCAUUCUUAGAUAUGAUGCCUUCCAUUUAUUAAGGACAAAGGUCAGAAAUUGUCAGCGCUGUGAUAGCUGUGUCUCUCCAUAUAAGAAGAGGCAUGUUCUACUGAGCCGUCAAAGAUGGAAAUGGGAGUCCUUAAUGCUGCUUCUGCACCGUGAAAACAAAACCGACCGUGAAACUGUCAGUUUGUGUCACGGUCCAAGAGUGAACGUCCUCACAAGCAGGGAUGUCGUGGAGUAGGUUCGUUCCCUGGUGUUGCUCCAUUUUUAUAACUCACUACUGUUCCCGAUUAAAGAGGUGGCCUGUCUAACCAAGUGUCUUGUCUCCAGUAGCAAUGGGAACUGGGGGGCUGAGCUGAGCAGUCGGGCACUGGCCUGCUAAAUCGGAGUUUAGAUGGAAAGCUGAGGGAUCCUGCCUCUUACUUUGGUAAACUAAGCAGUGAGUCUAUUUGGGAAGGAGAGCGAGUGGUUUAUCACCUCUGUGCUGCUGGCAUUCCAGUGGGUGCUGCCUUCCAGCUGUCCAGAUUGUCAUGGGCACGUGGCAGUACGCAGGCAGCGUUUCUGAGAGACUUGA
Gymnogyps californianus (California condor) is the source of this 1337-nucleotide long non-coding RNA. RefSeq lists it as uncharacterized. NCBI's taxonomy places the organism in Eukaryota, Metazoa, Chordata, Aves, Accipitriformes, Cathartidae. The transcript is spliced from 3 exons. The record is from RefSeq and is a predicted model, not a curated record.